RNAcentral lists this ribosomal RNA (395 nucleotides) under uncultured organism. RNAcentral's name for it is "bacterial SSU rRNA". It matches the Rfam family "Bacterial small subunit ribosomal RNA", at positions 45 to 433 of the family's 1533-position model. The record is from RNAcentral.
GGCUUAAUACAUGCAAGUCGAGGGGUAGCAUGAUUGUAGCAAUACAAUUGAUGACGACCGGCAAACGGGUGCGGAACACGUACACAACCUUCCUACAAGUGGGGAAUAGCCCAGAGAAAUUUGGAUUAAUACCCCGUAACAUAGCGAUGUGGCAUCACAUUGCUAUUAUAGCUUCGGCGCUUGUUGAUGGGUGUGCGGCUGAUUAGAUAGUUGGCGGGGUAACGGCCCACCAAGUCUACGAUCAGUAGCUGAUGUGAGAGCAUGAUCAGCCACACGGGCACUGAGACACGGGCCCGACUCCUACGGGAGGCAGCAGUAAGGAAUAUUGGACAAUGGACGCAAGUCUGAUCCAGCCAUGCCGCGUGAAGGAUUAAGGCCUUCGGGUUGUAAACUGC